UCGGAUUAAAUUCUAGAGUAUCUUUAUACUCUUUCCCUUUAAUUACGGGGUAUAUAUAUGGAUCAGAUUAGUAGGGAUUGAAGAUGGACACCCAUUGCCCCUCGGCUCAUUGUCCUACAGCAGCACCAUGAGUUGUUGCAUAAUGAUGUCUCGUGGUCGAUCAAUCGAAACAAUCACUAAUGCAAGAUGUUUUGCUUAUGGAAAGCAGCAAAAGAUGGGAUGAUUAGCCGUCGCUUGUGAAUUCUUGUUCUUAGGUGUAUGGUUGGGUGUACAGAGAGACCAUUUUGUCUCCUUCUUUAUGACUUUGACGAUCACCGGGGAGAUGAGAUGAUUUGCUCGACUCUGCUGUGAUGAAAGAGGUGGUCAUGCUUGAUCAGCAUGGAUGGAUCUUUUCAUGGUAUGCAUUACUGUGUCAGUGUCCGAGACAAGCAUGCAUAUAGCGUGAAUAUAUGCACACUGCUUGAGAAUACUGUAUACCUUAGCUUUCUUAUUGUAUUGCUCCAAUAACACAACAGGACAAUCUUCUAUAGCUUCCAGAAACACAACUAAGAAAGGAUAGGAAAGAGAUGAGAAAUCUGACUGCUGAGAGAUUUGAACUGUUUUGUUGCUAACAGCAUAGAACUAAAUAAGAAGAAGAUGCAAAGAACUCGGACAUGUCAACGAUCGACAAAAAGAAACAUUAUUAUGUCACAUUUGCUCCACAGCAGAAAUUUUAUUUUUUGGGUUUGCUUGAAUGACAAUAAUCAGCAAGAUUUCAGCAGAAACUGAUUAACUAUUGUCAUAUAAAUACUAAUUUACCCCCCAUAAAGGCCGGCAACAAUAGCUGAUCCUCUCUUAGCAUCAUGCAAGCACUGCUGUCGAUGAUCUUAAUGGCUGUUCACUGCUUGUAGCAAGAACCAGGGUCCAAUGGAGCAGUUCUGCCAGGUCCUGCUACCGGCGCAGCAGCAACCCCGCUUUGGUUGAGCAAGCAGCAAUCCCUCGAACGACGUCCGCCCGUGAUCCCGGGUGAUCACGGGUGGCAGGAUCCCUCGAACGACGUCCGCCCGUGAUCCCGAGUGAUCACGGGUGGCAGGAUCCCUCGACCCGGGUGGCAGGUCCCGUGAUCAACGU
This 1110-nucleotide long non-coding RNA is filed under the name Musa acuminata (dwarf banana). Its description in RNAcentral is "long non-coding RNA (MACU_LNC006976)". Lineage: Eukaryota; Viridiplantae; Streptophyta; Magnoliopsida; Zingiberales; Musaceae. The record is from RNAcentral.